GACGUAGGGCGCGAGCGUUGUCCGGAUUUAUUGGGCGUAAAGAGCUCGUAGGCGGCUUGUCGCGUCGACCGUGAAAACUUGGGGCUCAACCCCAAGCCUGCGGUCGAUACGGGCAGGCUAGAGUUCGGUAGGGGAGACUGGAAUUCCUGGUGCAGCGGUGAAAUGCGCAGAUAUCAGGAAGAACACCCGUGGCGAAAGCGGCUCUCUGGAACGGUACUGACGCUGAGACGCGAAAGCGUGGGGAGCGAACAGG
This 253-nucleotide ribosomal RNA is filed under the name uncultured bacterium. Its description in RNAcentral is "partial 16S ribosomal RNA". It matches the Rfam family "Bacterial small subunit ribosomal RNA", at positions 524 to 776 of the family's 1533-position model. The record is from RNAcentral.